GCCGGGCGUGCUGGUGCAUGCCUGUAGUCCCAGUUACUCAGAAGGCUGAGGCAGGAGAAUCACUUGAACCCAGGAGGCAGAGGUUGCAGUGAGCCGAGAUGGCACCACUGCAGCCCAGCCUGGGUGACAUAGUGAUACUCUGUCUCAA
This 148-nucleotide non-coding RNA is filed under the name Gorilla gorilla gorilla (western lowland gorilla). The record is from Rfam by way of RNAcentral. Lineage: Eukaryota; Metazoa; Chordata; Mammalia; Primates; Hominidae.